This 1331-nucleotide long non-coding RNA is filed under the name Equus caballus (horse). RNAcentral describes it as "lncRNA (ENSECAG00000058527.1)". The record is from RNAcentral. Lineage: Eukaryota; Metazoa; Chordata; Mammalia; Perissodactyla; Equidae.
CACAGAGGAAGGAGUGAGUAGCUUUGCUUUCCUGAGGAGACAGCGUUUGAGUUGGCUUGUAAAAGUUCUCAAUGGUGUUCACUCGUUGAAGAUUAAACCAUGGGAAGCUUUCCACUCAGCACCAUCCACUGGCUGGCACAGAGCUUUUGGCGGAUGUGGUGCUCCACAAAUGGUGGUGGUAGAAGAAGAUUCUGACUUUGAUCAUGGCCAUGUCGUGUCUGAGGUGGGCAGAGAUCUUCUAACUCUCUUUCCUGGCCAGCAAUGGAAACAGACAACUUACCGUGCUCACUACAUUCCAGGCACUGUUGUACGUUAACUCAUCCAGUUAUCUCAGCAACCCAACAAGGGGAUAAUCAAUUCAGAGCCUUGGUGUGUUGUCACAUUGGACACUUUCCUCCACUACUGUGUCAGCUCAGACCCACAGCACCAGAAUGGUACCAGGUACUUAAGAGGUUCUCGUUGAAAGGUGAAUGCAUGGUGGAGAAAGAAGCAAUCCCUGCUCUUAGAAAGUGUCUCCUGUGAGUGGCUAGAAAUGAGGGAAGCUAGACUCAAUGUGUAGACAAGGGCUGCCUGUCAUUGCUCUGUACGCUUAACAGUCUACCUGGGGAGAACAGAGAUACCAAGGGACAAUGAGGACAAGAGGAAGCAAAAUCUCCUUCAGAACAAGAAGAAGGUGUCUACACUUUUACCUCUGCCUGCCUGGUACACGCACCCCAGUUGCCUCACCAGAAUAAUUCCUACUUAUCAGCUCAGGACUUGCCUUCCCUGAUCACAACACUGGGUUUAGGAGACCCUCCUACACUGGAUUCAGGAGUCCCUCCAUAGUAUUCCCUUGCGACCCCACACUACCUCACCUCACUGAUUCAUAAUUUAGAGCAGUUUGUAUGCACCCUUAUCAUCUCCAGGGAGCCAUGAGAGCUUAGAGAGAAGACUGUAUGCACCUUCAGUCUUCAAUGACCAUAUGCUCUAAUUCUAACACACCUGGUAGAACGAAUCACUUGGAGAUUUCUGUCAACACCACCAAUAUAUGUAGUUUGAAAUCGUUACUUAGCAUAGAUUAUGGGAUUCACUGAUGGAGAGCUAAUGUACCAGAUCUUGAAUGGAAUAGAAUAUCAAUACCAAUCUAUAAACAUUUAUUUGUUGGAAUAGACCAUCCAUUCAUUUAUUCAUAGACCAACUCAUUCUUUCAAUAAAUAUUUAUUAAGCACCCAUAGUUUAUGACUCAUUUUGUUCAUUCAUUUGUUCAUUCAUUCAACACACAUUUACUGAGUGCCUGUUAAGUGUUAAAACUGUGGAUGUACUGGUGAAGGUAAUAGGAAUGUUUUUCCUAU